CAUCGCCACGGUAAUACGUAGGAGGCAAGCGUUGUCCGGAAUUAUUGGGCGUAAAGGGCUCGCAGACGGUUUCUUAAGUCUGAUGUGAGAGCCCCCGGCUCAACCGGGGAGGGUCAUUGGAAACUGGGAAACUUGAGUGCAGAAGAGGAGAGUGGAAUUCCACGUGUAGCGGUGAAAUGCGUAGAGAUGUGGAGGAACACCAGUGGCGAAGGCGACUCUCUGGUCUGUAACUGACGCUGAGGAGCGAAAGCGUGGGGAGCGAACAGGAUUAGAUACCCCAGUAGUCCCUGUUUCUUAUACA
Molecule: ribosomal RNA, 301 nt
Filed under: uncultured bacterium
Lineage: Bacteria
Description: partial 16S ribosomal RNA
Rfam family: Bacterial small subunit ribosomal RNA
Source: RNAcentral